GACAGAGGAUGCAAGCGUUAUCCGGAAUGAUUGGGCGUAAAGCGUCUGUAGGUGGCUUUUCAAGUCCGCCGUCAAAUCCCAGGGCUCAACCCUGGACAGGCGGUGGAAACUACCAAGCUGGAGUACGGUAGGGGCAGAGGGAAUUUCCGGUGGAGCGGUGAAAUGCGCAGAUAUCAGGAAGAACACCUAUGGCGAAGGCAGCUCUCUGGGACGGUACUGACGCUGAGACGCGAAAGCGUGGGGAGCGAACAGG
This 253-nucleotide ribosomal RNA is filed under the name uncultured bacterium. RNAcentral describes it as "partial 16S ribosomal RNA". It matches the Rfam family "Bacterial small subunit ribosomal RNA", at positions 524 to 776 of the family's 1533-position model. The record is from RNAcentral.